UAAAACUUUGUAUUGAUUAAGAGUUAGCCUAGGUUAAACUUAAGUAUGGUAAUUUUGGUGUCAAAUUUUUUUUAAACCCAGCAAGAAACAUUAAACUAUACUAGAAAUAGUAAUUUAAUUUAGCCUAAAAAACUGGACCAAUAAGGUGCCAGCAGUCGCGGUCACACCUUACAAUUGAGUUAACUCUCUCAGGUUAGCUUAAGAAGAAGAAUCUCCUAAUACGUCUGGUGAAAUAGAACUAUGGAGAUAAAUGCACAAUUCCAUAAUUCUAUACAUUUGCUAAAGCUCUGUAAAUAAACCAGGAUUAGAUACCCUGCUAUAUAGAGUUUAAUUUUCCCGCCUAAGCACUAUGACUAAAGAGUUAAAACUUAAAUUACAUGGCGGUAGCUAGAAAUUUCAGGGGAACUUGCCAAAUAAAUGAUAACCCUCAAGGAACUCUACUUCUACUUAUAGUUUGAAUAUCGCCGUCUUCAGUAUUCAUUUCAAGAUGAACCCAAAAUGUGAUCCUCACAAAAAGACAGGUUAUGAUGCAGCCAAUGUAGAAGCUCUAGGUGAGUUACAAUAGAAAUAUUUCUUUGGAUUUUCUCUUAAUUAAAGGAAUGAAACUGGACUUGAAAGUAAAAUAUUAAAAAGAACGUUAAUUGAAUUUCUCCACUAUCUGUGCACAAAUCGCCCGUCACUUUCGUUGAAAAAUGAAAUAAGUCGUAACACAGUAGGUGUACCGGAAGGUGUACCUGUCUUUAU
Molecule: non-coding RNA, 744 nt
Filed under: Chromodoris annae
Lineage: Eukaryota; Metazoa; Mollusca; Gastropoda; Nudibranchia; Chromodorididae
Source: RNAcentral